GAUGAAGAACGCAGCGAAAUGCGAUAAGUAAUGUGAAUUGCAGAAUUCAGUGAAUCAUCGAAUCUUUGAACGCACCUUGCGCCCUUUGGCUAUUCCAGAGGGCAUGCCUGUUUGAGUAUCAUGAACACCUCAACUCUCAUGGUUCUGCCAUGAUGAGCUUGGACUUUGGAGGUCUUGCUGGCCCCUGUGGUCAGCUCCUCUCAAAUGGAUCAGCUUGCCAGUGUUUGGUGGCAUCACAGGUGUGAUAACUAUCUACGUUUGUGGUUUUCCACCAGGUAACCUUCAGUGAUGGAGGUUCGCUGGAGCUCAUAAACGUCUCUCCUCAGCGAGGACAGCUUCUUGAAUGUUUGAUCUCAAAUCAGGUAGGGCUACCCGCUGAACUUAAGCAUAUCAAUAAGCGGAGGA
Molecule: unclassified non-coding RNA, 405 nt
Filed under: soil metagenome
Description: partial contains 5.8S ribosomal RNA, internal transcribed spacer 2, and large subunit ribosomal RNA
Rfam family: 5.8S ribosomal RNA (bases 1-121)
Source: RNAcentral